GAGUGGUGAAAACAGGAGCUGGCAUGGGAGAAUUCAACGAUCCUGAAUCAGGAGGGGAGCUAUCAGGGGUAUUAGAAUUGACCAUCUUUACUGCUUGCACAUUCUUACGCUUUGUAAAUUAAUCAGGGGGAAAGCCAAUGAGGCGAUGACACUGUUCAUGCUUGUGACCUUUAAGCUUACAGUAAUCACAUGUCCUAUUGAAUUGACCACGACGAGCAACAAAAGCACUAAAAUAAUUUGAAAACAUAGCAGUAGAAUUCGAAAUGGGCAAGACGCUAGAUAAGUAGCUCCGCUGUGAUUCUUCUUGAACAGUCAUAGAAUACGCCUGAUUAACAGAUGGAAGCGAUUGCAUAAGGAGAAUCUGACUGCGAAUUGUAGAAUAUGUCUCAUUGAGUCCCAUUAAGAAUUGAAACAAGCGCUAUUGAAGAACAUGUUGCAAAUUCUGUUGUGAAUUCGCACAAUUGCAGGAAGAAAUUGGAACUAACGCAGCAUACUCGUCCCACAAAAGCUUGAGCCGCGUUAAGUAUGCAAAAUCAGAAGUUUCUCCCUAAGUAAGCAUAGCGAUAUCACAAUGGAGGAAAAAAAUCCGUGAACCAUCAAUCUUACUAAAACGUUCUCUCAAAUAUUGCCAAACAAGUGUUACACUCGAGGCAAAGUCUAAUCUUGCCGAAAGCUCAGUAUUGACAAUAUUGAGAAUCUAAGAAAGAACAAUUGCAUUACAGUGAUCCCAUUGGGAAUGAAGAGAAACAUCAAAAUCAUCUCUACCACAAUCUCCAUCGACAAACCCUAAUUUAUUCUUCACCAACAACAUGAUUCGCAUUGAAAACUCCAAAGGCUAUAAUUCUUGAGACCAGUUAGGUGGUGAGAAACAAGCAGACUUCUCGGCAUAUCAGAUGAAUGCAGUUAAAGAGGAUGUGUGAAAUUGAUGACUGUAGAAUCCAUGGCUGAGAGACAACGACGCCAUUAUUGAGAACGCAAAAAGAAAGAAAAUGAAACAAAUCAGAGGAAAACCCAAAAGCAAAACAGAAUGGCCCAAUAGCAAGGUCCAAUAAAAAACAACCAGGCCUUAUACGAACGAGUAACCCGCAAGGAAAAAAUAAUCAAGAUUGAAGAAAUCAGCCAUGGAGACCAAGAGAAAGAUCGAAACUUGGGACUGAUAGCAUGUCAAAGAUACAAUACUUGCCAUGUAAAGAAUGC
Molecule: long non-coding RNA, 1197 nt
Filed under: Gossypium raimondii (Peruvian cotton)
Lineage: Eukaryota; Viridiplantae; Streptophyta; Magnoliopsida; Malvales; Malvaceae
Description: long non-coding RNA (GRAI_LNC004125)
Source: RNAcentral